Molecule: ribosomal RNA, 253 nt
Filed under: uncultured bacterium
Lineage: Bacteria
Description: partial 16S ribosomal RNA
Rfam family: Bacterial small subunit ribosomal RNA
Source: RNAcentral
UACGAAGGGGGCUAGCGUUGCUCGGAAUCACUGGGCGUAAAGCGCACGUAGGCGGAUCUUUAAGUCAGGGGUGAAAUCCUGGAGCUCAACCUCGGAACUGCCUUUGAUACAGCAUAUCUUGAGUCCGAUAGAGGUGGGUGGAAUUCCUAGUGUAGAGGUGAAAUUCGUAGAUAUUAGGAAGAACACCGGUGGCGAAGGCGGCCCACUGGAUCGGUACUGACGCUGAGGUGCGAAAGCGUGGGGAGCAAACAGG